AUUUCGACAAUGGCCAUUAAAGGCAUAAGCUGCUCGUCGUUGAAGUGGCGACUGCACUUGAGCACGCU
Molecule: small RNA, 68 nt
Filed under: Archaeoglobus fulgidus
Lineage: Archaea; Methanobacteriati; Methanobacteriota; Archaeoglobi; Archaeoglobales; Archaeoglobaceae
Source: RNAcentral